CCAAUACACACAUACUGCCCCCAAUACACACACACUCUACACAGAUACACUACCCCCAUACACACACACUGCCCCCAUACACUGCCGCCCCAUACACACACAUUGCCACACUCACACAUACACUGCAAUACUCACACACACACACACUGCAACUGUUACACACACAUACUGUCCCACACAUACAAUGCAUCCCUGACAUACACUGCCGCCCUCACUCACACACUACAACCUUCACACACACACACACACUGCUCACACACUGUCCCCCUCACACACACACACACACAUUGCACCCCUUACACAUUGCACCACUCACACACACCACUGCUCCUAUGCCCUACUACAGCCCCAUUUCCCAGCCGACCUCAGGUAAAUUGUCAAACUGUUCUUAAACGGUUUGACUACUUACUCUGGGAGGGGGUCCCGGGACUAUUGACACCAUAACCACUACACUGAGCUGUAGUGGUUAUUGUGUCUGGAUUAUUUCUUUAAAUAAUCUACAAGUGCCCCUCCCGAGAUCAGGCUCUGGAUCCGCCACUGCUAUCAUCGCUAUAAACUUAAACCUAGGUAACUGCCAGAGUAGCUGCUCUGAGUAAAGGAUAUUGGUUAGCCAGAGAGGUUCAUUAGGUUGGUGCUUGAGUGAUGUCCCUGAACUGCGGAGGGGGCCCUCUUUCUUGUACCUACCUGCAAAUAAUAAUAAAAAAAUGCUACUUACUAGAAUGACUCUUUUAAAUAGUUUGUGAACAAAUGCAAUGUGAUGGCAAUAUGUGAUUAAAAAGGCAGGAGAUAUGUAUAAAUCAGUCAAUGUAUUACACUGUAAAACAAAACAGAAAAGUAGGAAUGCAAAAAGAGUGAAGUAAUCACUUCUAAGGUGUAAAUGGAAAUAUACAACCUUAUAAUAUAACAGCGUGAUGGACAAUAUCUACAAAAAGAUAUAUAAAUCGCACAUAGAGUGAUAAAAGUAUAAAUGUCUAGACACGCAGGAUGUAUAUAUUGAACUCACAAAAUAUAAGUGAAUAUCAGGCCCAUCAUCCUUAAUCAAAAAUGGUCUUCAAAGUUAAAUGGAGAAAAUCUUCUUUAGCACUUGUAAAAUAAAGAAACCAAGAAAUAGUACAGAUGGAAUUAAAACUACAAAGAAUUUAUUACAAAGGUCCAGGUAAAAAACAGCAUAUAAUCCACUAUAAGGUGGAGAUAAAAGUAUAGCAAGUGAGUCCCCAAUGUAGUAUUGUAGUAAUGUAUUACACUGUGAUAACCCCCAACAUUGGCAUCCAGUAAAGUGAUA
Non-coding RNA from Pelobates cultripes (western spadefoot toad), 1282 nucleotides. The record is from the annotation of a GenBank genome assembly. NCBI's taxonomy places the organism in Eukaryota, Metazoa, Chordata, Amphibia, Anura, Pelobatidae.